This 588-nucleotide ribosomal RNA is filed under the name Penicillium dipodomyicola. RNAcentral's name for it is "eukaryotic LSU rRNA". The stretch from base 218 to 370 matches the Rfam family "5.8S ribosomal RNA". The record is from RNAcentral. Lineage: Eukaryota; Fungi; Ascomycota; Eurotiomycetes; Eurotiales; Aspergillaceae.
GUAACAAGGUUUCCGUAGGUGAACCUGCGGAAGGAUCAUUACCGAGUGAGGGCCCUCUGGGUCCAACCUCCCACCCGUGUUUAUUUUACCUUGUUGCUUCGGCGGGCCCGCCUUAACUGGCCGCCGGGGGGCUUACGCCCCCGGGCCCGCGCCCGCCGAAGACACCCUCGAACUCUGUCUGAAGAUUGUAGUCUGAGUGAAAAUAUAAAUUAUUUAAAACUUUCAACAACGGAUCUCUUGGUUCCGGCAUCGAUGAAGAACGCAGCGAAAUGCGAUACGUAAUGUGAAUUGCAAAUUCAGUGAAUCAUCGAGUCUUUGAACGCACAUUGCGCCCCCUGGUAUUCCGGGGGGCAUGCCUGUCCGAGCGUCAUUUCUGCCCUCAAGCACGGCUUGUGUGUUGGGCCCCGUCCUCCGAUCCCGGGGGACGGGCCCGAAAGGCAGCGGCGGCACCGCGUCCGGUCCUCGAGCGUAUGGGGCUUUGUCACCCGCUCUGUAGGCCCGGCCGGCGCUUGCCGAUCAACCCAAAUUUUUAUCCAGGUUGACCUCGGAUCAGGUAGGGAUACCCGCUGAACUUAAGCAUAUCAAUAA